UUCGCAAUGCCCGAAAGGGUGACGAUGCGACGCCGCGUGAGCGAAGAAGGCCCUAGGGUUGUAAAGCUCUGUCGAGGGUUAUGAAAUAUAGAUGGGUUAAUACCCCAUUUAUUUGACAAAAGCCCAAAAGGAAGCCACGGCUAACUCUGUGCCAGCAGCCGCGGUAAUACAGAGGUGGCGAGCGUUGUUCGGUAUUAUUGGGCGUAAAGAGCACGUAGGUGGUUUUGUAAGCCAGAUGUGAAAGCCUUCUGUUCAAAGGAAGAACGGCAUCUGAAACUGCAGAUCUUGAGUGUAGGAGGGGAGAGUGGAACUUCUGGUGGAGCGGUGAAAUGCGUAGAUAUCAGAAGGAACGUCGGCGGCGAAAGCGACUCUCUGGCCUAUUACUGACACUGAGGUGCGAAAGUUAGGGGAGCAAACGGGAUUAGAUACCCCGGUAGUCCUAACCGUAAACGAUGGGCACUAAGUAGAGGGGUUUU
Molecule: ribosomal RNA, 476 nt
Filed under: Candidatus Scalindua wagneri
Lineage: Bacteria; Pseudomonadati; Planctomycetota; Candidatus Brocadiia; Candidatus Brocadiales; Candidatus Scalinduaceae
Description: bacterial SSU rRNA
Rfam family: Bacterial small subunit ribosomal RNA
Source: RNAcentral